RNAcentral lists this ribosomal RNA (497 nucleotides) under uncultured bacterium. RNAcentral describes it as "partial 16S ribosomal RNA". It matches the Rfam family "Bacterial small subunit ribosomal RNA", at positions 28 to 507 of the family's 1533-position model. The record is from RNAcentral.
GAUGAACGCUGGCGGCGUGCCUAAUACAUGCAAGUCGAGCGAACAGAUAAGGAGCUUGCUCCUUUGACGUUAGCGGCGGACGGGUGAGUAACACGUGGGUAACCUACCUAUAAGACUGGAAUAACUCCGGGAAACCGGGGCUAAUGCCGGAUAACAUUUAGAACCGCAUGGUUCUAAAGUGAAAGAUGGUUUUGCUAUUACUUAUAGAUGGACCCGCGCCGUAUUAGCUAGUUGGUAAGGUAACGGCUUACCAAGGCAACGAUACGUAGCCGACCUGAGAGGGUGAUCGGCCACACUGGAACUGAGACACGGUCCAGACUCCUACGGGAGGCAGCAGUAGGGAAUCUUCCGCAAUGGGCGAAAGCCUGACGGAGCAACGCCGCGUGAGUGAUGAAGGUCUUCGGAUCGUAAAACUCUGUUAUUAGGGAAGAACAAAUGUGUAAGUAACUGUGCACGUCUUGACGGUACCUAAUCAGAAAGCCACGGCUAACUACGUG